Molecule: ribosomal RNA, 665 nt
Filed under: Chaetostricha sp. D1232
Lineage: Eukaryota; Metazoa; Arthropoda; Insecta; Hymenoptera; Trichogrammatidae
Description: SSU rRNA
Rfam family: Eukaryotic small subunit ribosomal RNA
Source: RNAcentral
UAACGAUACGGGACUCAUCCGAGGCCCCGUAAUCGGAAUGAGUACACUUUAAAUCCUUUAACGAGGACCCAUUGGAGGGCAAGUCUGGUGCCAGCAGCCGCGGUAAUUCCAGCUCCAAUAGCGUAUAUUAAAGUUGUUGCGGUUAAAAAGCUCGUAGUUGAAUCUGUGUGCUACGGUGUUGGUUCAUCGCUCGCGAUGUUUAAUCGGCAUGAUUGUAGUGCGUCCUACCGGUGGGCUUAGCUCCUUUCGGGGGGCGGUCCAGCUAAUAUCCCGUCGCGGUGCUCUUAAUCGAGCGUCGAGGUGGGCCGGUACGUUUACUUUGAACAAAUUAGAGUGCUCAAAGCAGGCUAUGUUCGCCUGAAUAUUUUUUGCAUGGAAUAAUGGAAUAGGACCUCGGUUCUAUUUUGUUGGUUUUCGGAACCCCGAGGUAAUGAUUAAUAGGGACAGAUGGGGGCAUUCGUAUUGCGACGUUAGAGGUGAAAUUCUUGGAUCGUCGCAAGACGGACAGAAGCGAAAGCAUUUGCCAAAAAUGUUUUCAUUAAUCAAGAACGAAAGUUAGAGGUUCGAAGGCGAUCAGAUACCGCCCUAGUUCUAACCAUAAACGAUGCCAGCUAGCGAUCCGCCGAAGUUCCUCCGAUGACUCGGCGGGCAGCUUCCGGGAAACC